This 432-nucleotide ribosomal RNA is filed under the name uncultured bacterium. RNAcentral describes it as "partial 16S ribosomal RNA". It matches the Rfam family "Bacterial small subunit ribosomal RNA", at positions 338 to 795 of the family's 1533-position model. The record is from RNAcentral.
CCUACGGGAGGCAGCAGUGGGGAAUAUUGCGCAAUGGGCGAAAGCCUGACGCAGCCACGCCGCGUGAGUGAUGAAGGCCUUCGGGUUGUAAAGCUCUGUCGGGAGGGACGCGGUACCUCGCAAGAAAGCACCGGCUAACUCUGUGCCAGCAGCCGCGGUAAUACAGAGGGUGCAAGCGUUGCUCGGAUUUACUGGGCGUAAAGCGUACGCAGACGGUAAGGAAGGUCGAAUGUGAAAGCCCCGGGCUCAACCCGGGAAAUGCAUCCGAAACCCCCUUGCUAGAGUAUGAGAGAGGGAAGCGGAAUUCCUGGUGUAGAGGUGAAAUUCGUAGAUAUCAGGAGGAACAUCGGCGGCGAAGGCGGCUUCCUGGCUCAUACUGACGUUCAGGUACGAAAGCGUGGGUAGCAAACAGGAUUAGAUACCCUAGUAGUC